CAGAAAACAGACAGGUGGGGCUUUAUGGUACUAUAAGGCACUGGACCCUACAAUGUUCAGAGAGUGCUUUGUACACCAAAAUGUCAGCCGGAACGGGUCAAGAACCCCUCAAAGUGCCUCAUAUAUGGAACUUAACAUCUAAGAGGUAAAUGGUUGUAAUAAACUGGGUUUGGAGACGUAGCGGAGUCAGGCGCAGGACACAGGUUUGAGCGAAACAGUCUAGUUUACUCAUAAACACAAGCAAAAUCUCCAACAGGAAACAACAGUGUGAGGAGAACACCUCCAACAACCACUGAUAACGAACAAUCACGGACAAAACAAAAAGGCCGGUGGUGGCUGGCCCGCUCCAGGAGUCUGAGGUGUGGGGAGUUUCUCCGCCCCCUUUGGACAUCGAGGGGGCCCCGGCGUACUCCAUUCGCUCCAUACUGCAUUCGAGGUGUCGGGCGAGGGGCCUUCAGUACCUCGUGGACUAUGAGGGGUUCGGUCCGGAGGAGAGAUGCUGGGUUCCGGUGGAGGACGUGUUGGACCCUUCAUUGCUGCGGGAGUUCCAUCGUCUCCGACCGGAUCGCCUUACACCUCGCCCUCUGGCCUUCUUUAGACUAGUUGAGUAUCAGCAUUUGUGGGUUCGAUUACAGGCUCAAAAUGGACUGAAACAAAGACCUUUCUUCUUAAACUCGUCAGUCUGUUCUUGUUCUGAGAAAUGAAGGCUAUUCCAUGUGAGAAAUUGCCAAGAAACUGAUGAUCUUGUGCAACGCUGUGUACUACUUCCUUCACAGAAUAGCGCAAACUGUCUCUAACCAGAAUAGAAAGAAGAGUGGGAGGCCCCGGUGCACAACUGAGCAAGAGGAUAAGUACAUUAGAGUGUGUAGUUUGAGAAACAGACGCCUCACAAGUUCUCAACUGACAGUUUCCAGCUGUGCUAACAUAAUUGCAAAACGGUUUUCUAAUGAUCAGUUAGCCUUUCAAAAUUAUAAACUUGGAUUAGCUAACACAACGUGCCAUUGGAACACAGGAGUGAUGGUUGCUGAUAAUGGGCCUCUGUACGCCCAUGUAGAUAUU
RNAcentral lists this long non-coding RNA (1059 nucleotides) under Salmo salar (Atlantic salmon). RNAcentral describes it as "lncRNA (ENSSSAG00000106470.1)". The record is from RNAcentral. Lineage: Eukaryota; Metazoa; Chordata; Actinopteri; Salmoniformes; Salmonidae.